GGUCAUGGCUCAAAGGUAGAGUGCUUGCCUACCAUGUGUGAGGCACUGAGUUCGAUCCUCAGCACCA
This 67-nucleotide transfer RNA is filed under the name Marmota monax (woodchuck). RNAcentral describes it as "tRNA.Gly". The record is from RNAcentral. Lineage: Eukaryota; Metazoa; Chordata; Mammalia; Rodentia; Sciuridae.